RNAcentral lists this ribosomal RNA (446 nucleotides) under uncultured bacterium. Its description in RNAcentral is "bacterial SSU rRNA". It matches the Rfam family "Bacterial small subunit ribosomal RNA", at positions 329 to 792 of the family's 1533-position model. The record is from RNAcentral.
UUCCAGACUCCUACGGGAGGCAGCAGUGGGGAAUAUUGCACAAUGGGGGAAACCCUGAUGCAGCGACGCCGCGUGAGCGAUGAAGUAUUUCGGUAUGUAAAGCUCUAUCAGCAGGGAAGAAGAUGACGGUACCUGACUAAGAAGCCCCGGCUAACUACGUGCCAGCAGCCGCGGUAAUACGUAGGGGGCAAGCGUUAUCCGGAUUUACUGGGUGUAAAGGGAGCGUAGACGGCGAUGCAAGCCAGAUGUGAAAGCCCGGGGCUCAACCCCAGGACUGCAUUUGGAACUGUGUGGCUGGAGUGUCGGAGAGGCAGGCGGAAUUCCUAGUGUAGCGGUGAAAUGCGUAGAUAUUAGGAGGAACACCAGUGGCGAAGGCGGCCUGCUGGACGAUGACUGACGUUGAGGCUCGAAAGCGUGGGGAGCAAACAGGAUUAGAUACCCUUGUA